RNAcentral lists this ribosomal RNA (253 nucleotides) under uncultured bacterium. Its description in RNAcentral is "partial 16S ribosomal RNA". It matches the Rfam family "Bacterial small subunit ribosomal RNA", at positions 524 to 776 of the family's 1533-position model. The record is from RNAcentral.
UACGGGGGGGGCAAGCGUUGUUCGGAAUUACUGGGCGUAAAGGGCUCGUAGGCGGCCAACUAAGUCGGAUGUGAAAUCCCCAGGCUCAACCUGGGAACUGCAUCCGAUACUGGAUGGCUUGAAUCCGGGAGAGGGAUGCAGAAUUCCAGGUGUAGCGGUGAAAUGCGUAGAUAUCUGGAGGAAUACCGGUGGCGAAGGCGGCAUCCUGGACCGGCAUUGACGCUGAGGAGCGAAAGCUAGGGGAGCAAACGGA